Chiloscyllium plagiosum (whitespotted bambooshark) is the source of this 886-nucleotide non-coding RNA. NCBI's taxonomy places the organism in Eukaryota, Metazoa, Chordata, Chondrichthyes, Orectolobiformes, Hemiscylliidae. The record is from RefSeq and is a predicted model, not a curated record.
UCGGAAAACGGGGUGCGGGUUCCAGCUCCACCCACUCAGGGUGAAAGUGAUGGGCCGGGCUAAUAGGAGGCUCGCUGGAGCCAGAACAUCGCUUUAGAUAGAGGGCAAAGUUAAAAAUCACAACACCAUGUUAUAGCCUGUAGUCCAACAGAUUUAUUUGAAAGCUGUAGUUUUCGGAGCGCUGCUCCUUCAUCAGGUAGCUGUGGAGCAGGAUCAUAAGACACAGAAUUUAUAGGAAAAGAUUACAGUGACACUCUGACCUCACGUUUCACCUUCACUCACCGCCUUUGGGUGUGAUAGACGAACAUUUCUUUCAGGAGAAAGCGAGGAGUGCAGAUGCUGGAGAUCAGAGUCGAAGAGGGUGGUGCUGUAAAAGCACAUUCUGGAUCAGUGGUGCUGGAAAAGCACAGCAGUUCAGGCAGCAUCCGAGGAGCAGUAAAGCACAACCGGUCAGGCAGCAUCGGAGGAGCAGGAGAAUCGCGGUUUCGAGCAUAAGCUGUUCAUCAGCAAUGAGGAGGUGGCUCAAAGGAGCUGACAGCGCCGUGACCAUAUAGUAUUUAGUACUCUGCAUUGUGGCCACAGCAACCUUGGUAAGAAUCCACAUCACAGCAAUGAGUGGUCUCUCUGUUUCACUUCUCAUGAAAUAUACUAAAGAAACGUGAUUCAAGAUAAUACUGCCGAGAAAAAGAAUUAAACUGCAAAACCAACUCGUCUUGUUGAUUGGUUUCUUUGGCAGAUUUCAAAUCUUUGAAUCCCUACGCGGUGAAAGAACAACUCCGCCAAUCGAGUCUACAGCAUCCCAACCCAAACCUAGCUCUCCUCCAUAUCCCUGCAGACCUCAUCGGAUGAAGGGGCCACACUCAGAAAGCUUGUAAUUUCAAAUAAA